GACGAAGGUGGCGAGCGUUGUUCGGAAUCACUGGGCCUAAAGCGCACGUAGGCGGUGUCGUAAGUCGGGUGUGAAAUCCCUCGGCCUAACCGAGGGACUGCGCCCGAUACUGCGAUGCUUGAGGACCAGAGGGGUGCAUGGAAUUUCCGGUGGAGCGGUGAAAUGCGUUGAUAUCGGAAGGAACACCGGCGGCGAAAGCGAUGCACUGGCUGGUUUCUGACGCUGAGGUGCGAAAGCCAGGGGAGCAAACGGG
This 253-nucleotide ribosomal RNA is filed under the name uncultured bacterium. Its description in RNAcentral is "partial 16S ribosomal RNA". It matches the Rfam family "Bacterial small subunit ribosomal RNA", at positions 524 to 776 of the family's 1533-position model. The record is from RNAcentral.